GGGUUGUGAGGUUAAGCGACUAAGCGUACACGGUGGAUGCCCUGGCAGUCAGAGGCGAUGAAGGACGUGCUAAUCUGCGAUAAGCGUCGGUAAGGUGAUAUGAACCGUUAUAACCGGCGAUUUCCGAAUGGGGAAACCCAGUGUGAUUCGUCACACUAUCAUUAACUGAAUCCAUAGGUUAAUGAGGCGAACCGGGGGAACUGAAACAUCUAAGUACCCCGAGGAAAAGAAAUCAACCGAGAUUCCCCCAGUAGCGGCGAGCGAACGGGGAGCAGCCCAGAGCCUGAAUCAGUGUGUGUGUUAGUGGAAGCGUCUGGAAAGGCGCGCGAUACAGGGUGACAGCCCCGUACACAAAAAUGCACAUGCUGUGAGCUCGAUGAGUAGGGCGGGACACGUGGUAUCCUGUCUGAAUAUGGGGGGACCAUCCUCCAAGGCUAAAUACUCCUGACUGACCGAUAGUGAACCAGUACCGUGAGGGAAAGGCGAAAAGAACCCCGGCGAGGGGAGUGAAAAAGAACCUGAAACCGUGUACGUACAAGCAGUGGGAGCACGCUUAGGCGUGUGACUGCGUACCUUUUGUAUAAUGGGUCAGCGACUUAUAUUCUGUAGCAAGGUUAACCGAAUAGGGGAGCCGAAGGGAAACCGAGUCUUAACUGGGCGUUAAGUUGCAGGGUAUAGACCCGAAACCCGGUGAUCUAGCCAUGGGCAGGUUGAAGGUUGGGUAACACUAACUGGAGGACCGAACCGACUAAUGUUGAAAAAUUAGCGGAUGACUUGUGGCUGGGGGUGAAAGGCCAAUCAAACCGGGAGAUAGCUGGUUCUCCCCGAAAGCUAUUUAGGUAGCGCCUCGUGAAUUCAUCUCCGGGGGUAGAGCACUGUUUCGGCAAGGGGGUCAUCCCGACUUACCAACCCGAUGCAAACUGCGAAUACCGGAGAAUGUUAUCACGGGAGACACACGGCGGGUGCUAACGUCCGUCGUGAAGAGGGAAACAACCCAGACCGCCAGCUAAGGUCCCAAAGUCAUGGUUAAGUGGGAAACGAUGUGGGAAGGCCCAGACAGCCAGGAUGUUGGCUUAGAAGCAGCCAUCAUUUAAAGAAAGCGUAAUAGCUCACUGGUCGAGUCGGCCUGCGCGGAAGAUGUAACGGGGCUAAACCAUGCACCGAAGCUGCGGCAGCGACGCUUAUGCGUUGUUGGGUAGGGGAGCGUUCUGUAAGCCUGUGAAGGUGUGCUGUGAGGCAUGCUGGAGGUAUCAGAAGUGCGAAUGCUGACAUAAGUAACGAUAAAGCGGGUGAAAAGCCCGCUCGCCGGAAGACCAAGGGUUCCUGUCCAACGUUAAUCGGGGCAGGGUGAGUCGACCCCUAAGGCGAGGCCGAAAGGCGUAGUCGAUGGGAAACAGGUUAAUAUUCCUGUACUUGGUGUUACUGCGAAGGGGGGACGGAGAAGGCUAUGUUGGCCGGGCGACGGUUGUCCCGGUUUAAGCGUGUAGGCUGGUUUUCCAGGCAAAUCCGGAAAAUCAAGGCUGAGGCGUGAUGACGAGGCACUACGGUGCUGAAGCAACAAAUGCCCUGCUUCCAGGAAAAGCCUCUAAGCAUCAGGUAACAUCAAAUCGUACCCCAAACCGACACAGGUGGUCAGGUAGAGAAUACCAAGGCGCUUGAGAGAACUCGGGUGAAGGAACUAGGCAAAAUGGUGCCGUAACUUCGGGAGAAGGCACGCUGAUAUGUAGGUGAAGUCCCUCGCGGAUGGAGCUGAAAUCAGUCGAAGAUACCAGCUGGCUGCAACUGUUUAUUAAAAACACAGCACUGUGCAAACACGAAAGUGGACGUAUACGGUGUGACGCCUGCCCGGUGCCGGAAGGUUAAUUGAUGGGGUCAGCGCAAGCGAAGCUCUUGAUCGAAGCCCCGGUAAACGGCGGCCGUAACUAUAACGGUCCUAAGGUAGCGAAAUUCCUUGUCGGGUAAGUUCCGACCUGCACGAAUGGCGUAAUGAUGGCCAGGCUGUCUCCACCCGAGACUCAGUGAAAUUGAACUCGCUGUGAAGAUGCAGUGUACCCGCGGCAAGACGGAAAGACCCCGUGAACCUUUACUAUAGCUUGACACUGAACAUUGAGCCUUGAUGUGUAGGAUAGGUGGGAGGCUUGGAAGUGUGGACGCCAGUCUGCAUGGAGCCGACCUUGAAAUACCACCCUUUAAUGUUUGAUGUUCUAACGUGGACCCGUAAUCCGGGUUGCGGACAGUGUCUGGUGGGUAGUUUGACUGGGGCGGUCUCCUCCUAAAGAGUAACGGAGGAGCACGAAGGUUGGCUAAUCCUGGUCGGACAUCAGGAGGUUAGUGCAAUGGCAUAAGCCAGCUUGACUGCGAGCGUGACGGCGCGAGCAGGUGCGAAAGCAGGUCAUAGUGAUCCGGUGGUUCUGAAUGGAAGGGCCAUCGCUCAACGGAUAAAAGGUACUCCGGGGAUAACAGGCUGAUACCGCCCAAGAGUUCAUAUCGACGGCGGUGUUUGGCACCUCGAUGUCGGCUCAUCACAUCCUGGGGCUGAAGUAGGUCCCAAGGGUAUGGCUGUUCGCCAUUUAAAGUGGUACGCGAGCUGGGUUUAGAACGUCGUGAGACAGUUCGGUCCCUAUCUGCCGUGGGCGCUGGAGAACUGAGGGGGGCUGCUCCUAGUACGAGAGGACCGGAGUGGACGCAUCACUGGUGUUCGGGUUGUCAUGCCAAUGGCACUGCCCGGUAGCUAAAUGCGGAAGAGAUAAGUGCUGAAAGCAUCUAAGCACGAAACUUGCCCCGAGAUGAGUUCUCCCUGACUCCUUGAGAGUCCUGAAGGAACGUUGAAGACGACGACGUUGAUAGGCCGGGUGUGUAAGCGCAGCGAUGCGUUGAGCUAACCGGUACUAAUGAACCGUGAGGCUUAACCUUACAACGCCGAAGGUGUUU
RNAcentral lists this ribosomal RNA (2931 nucleotides) under Escherichia coli. RNAcentral's name for it is "23S ribosomal RNA". It matches the Rfam family "Bacterial large subunit ribosomal RNA". Lineage: Bacteria; Pseudomonadati; Pseudomonadota; Gammaproteobacteria; Enterobacterales; Enterobacteriaceae. The record is from RNAcentral.